RNA transcript from Marmota flaviventris (yellow-bellied marmot), 2549 nucleotides. It is a transcript of the gene named ankyrin repeat domain 16, with no coding region annotated. NCBI's taxonomy places the organism in Eukaryota, Metazoa, Chordata, Mammalia, Rodentia, Sciuridae. The record is from RefSeq and is a predicted model, not a curated record.
GGCUAGAGGAAACUUUCCCAGAGUUCCUUCGAGCUGCCUGGGUUCCCGCGGGAGCCACAGCUGUAGCGGCGGGGAGGUAGCCAAGUACCGCUGCUGAUUGGGUGAGGAGUGGGCAGAGUACAGGAACACCACCAGUAGGCGUCAGACCUCGGCAGUGGGAGGCCCAGCGCACCGCAGCCCCGCACUCAUCCCUACAGCAGACGUGAGCCGGACAGGCUGCGGGAAAAAGAGCUCGGCCGGUGAAAGCAGGUCACGGUCCGGCCUGGCUUCCUCCGGAGCUACCCCUGUCUCGGCAGAGUUCAGGGUCGGGGUCAGGCCGCUCGUGUUUCUCUGUAGCGCUUCACGGCUAGGCGGUAGAGCACCACACCCCACAUCCUGACCUUUUCGGCCUGCAAUCACUUCCGUGCAAGGGGAAGCUCCAGAACAACAGAUGCACCCUCGUACCGAGCUGCUUGGGUUGUUGUUGCCAAGGGCUCCGCCUAGACUACUGCGCGCGUCUGGAACGCCCCAACAGAGUGGCCCACAAGCGUGCUUACCGCCGACUGUCCUGUCCCCUUGAGGAGUCACCACCCUAUACUGGAAAUCGCGGCUCCUCCCCACAUCCAGAACAAGUGGCUUGAGGGUGUUGGGGGCGGCUGCUCUCUCGUUGCCCAAUCGGGCCGGGCCUCGGCACCGGCACCUCGUCGCGGAGGAAGGUUACGAUCAGAAAGUGGAAUCUCUUGUCACUUCUCAGUUUCGCCCAGCCUAUGGUAGUGGGGCCCCAGCUGAGGAGGACUGGUGCUCGGGGUCCCUCCCACUCGUCCCGGGCCAACGGUGAUGGCCGGGCCCGGGGAUCCGCGGCGACUCUGCAGGCUGGUGCAAGAGGGCCAGCUGCUUGCCCUGCAGGCGGAGCUGCAGGAGGCUAGAGGCUACCAAGGACCGGCCGGGGACACCCUCCUCCACUGUGCAGCCCGUCACGGGCGCCUGGACAUCCUAGCCUAUUUGGCCGAAGCCUGGGGCAUGGACAUUGAGGCCGCGAACCGAGACUACAAGAGGCCUCUACACGAGGCUGCCUCCAUGGGCCACCGGGACUGCGUGCGCUACCUGCUGGCCCGAGGGGCAGCUGUGGAUAGCCUGAAGAAAGCCGACUGGACUCCUCUGAUGAUGGCUUGCACAAGGAAGAAUCUUGAGGUGAUCCAGGACCUUGUAGAACACGGAGCCAAUCCACUCCUGAAGAACAAAGAUGGUUGGAACAGUUUUCAUAUUGCCAGUAGAGAAGGUGACCCUCUGAUCCUUCAGUAUCUGCUCACUGUUUGCCCGGAUGCAUGGAAGACAGAGAGCAAAAUUAGAAGAACUCCUCUGCACACUGCAGCAAUGCAUGGCUGUUUAGAAGCAGUAAAGGUGCUUCUUGAGAGGUGUCAGUAUGAACCAGACUGCAAAGACAGCUGUGGUGUCACCCCCUUUAUGGAUGCAAUUCAGUGUGGACACAUCGACAUAGCCAGACUGCUCCUCAAAAAGCAUGAGGCUUGCUUUUUAGCUGAGGAUAGCCUGGGGGCUCAGGCUCUGCACAGGGCAGCAGUCACUGGGCAAGACGCAGCCAUCCGAUUCCUGGUGUCUGAUCUUGGUGUUGAUGUAGAUACAAGAGCAACAACAACCCACCUCACAGCACUUCAUUUUGCAGCUAAGGAAGGACAUAUAAGCACGAUUCAGACUCUCUUGUUCUUGGGUGCUGACAUCAACGCUAAAGAUGAAAGAAAUCGAUCAGCCCUGCAUCUGGCCUGUGCGGGUCAGCACUUGGUUUGUGCGGAGUUUCUCUUGCAGUCAGGGCUGAAGGAUUCUGCCGACAUAACGGGAACCCUGGCCCAGCAGCUCAUGAAGACAGCAGGUGUCCUUCAGGGCUUUGAUUACAGUGAGGUGGCAUAAGGAUGUUUCUAAAAGGAGACAAUAAAAGCUCUCGGCCACUCGGCUAAGACCCACUUCCAUGAGGGCUGUCGACUCGUUCUCAAAGCACACCUUCCCCAUGAUUUGCAAGACAAAAACCUGGAAAGAAGUUGGCAGUGAGCUGCUGAAUUCUACUGGAGCUGCAGUACUGAGAUCUGCAACUCACCACUCAGUGGUAAUGGAGAAGAAUCAGGCUUUCUGGGCUGCAAAGGCCUGCAGCUUACACAGACUCCACCAGCCAACAGAAGCAGAGAAUCAAGUUUCAUCACAAACUCCAGUUUUAAGGGGAGACAGCCUGUAGACCUCAGACUGGUGGUUAUAUACCAGGUGGUGAUUAGUGUGAAGAGAAUAAAGUAGAGAAGGGGCAGGAAGAGCCAAGGGUUGGUUCUCUGAGCAGAAAACAUUGUUAGCUGUGAGAAAACAUUCCACACAGAGCCAACAGUGGCUGUGUGUUGGAGAAAAGGGAAGGAAGCCAGCAUGGCAGAAAUGAGUAAGCAGGGAGCAAGUGGCUGGGGCUGAGGUCAGGGCUGGACUGCAAAGGCCCUUUUGGACUGUUUUCCUCUGGGAAGAGGGAGGAAGCCAUUUUGGGGUUUUGAGUAGAGGAAUGAUUAAAUCUGACCUGGGUGGUU